AUCGAACGCUGCGGCAUGCCUAAUACAUGCAAGUCGAGCGGACCCUUCGGGUCAGCGGCGGACGGGUGAGUAACACGUGGGUAAUCUGCCCAACUGACUGGAAUAACGCCUGGAAACGGGUGCUAAUGCCGGAUAGGCAACUGGUAGGCAUCUACCGGUUGGGAAAGGUGCAACUGCACCGCAGAUGGAGGAGCCCGCGGCGCAUUAGCUAGUUGGUGGGGUAACGGCCCACCAAGGCGACGAUGCGUAGCCGACCUGAGAGGGUGACCGGCCACACUGGGACUGAGACACGGCCCAGACUCCUACGGGAGGCAGCAGUAGGGAAUCUUCGGCAAUGGGCGAAAGCCUGACCGAGCAACGCCGCGUGAGCGAAGAAGGCCUUCGGGUUGUAAAGCUCAGUCACCCGGGAAGAGCGGGCAGGAGAGGGAAUGCUCCUGUCGAGACGGUACCGGGAGAGGAAGCCCCGGCUAACUACGUG
This 478-nucleotide ribosomal RNA is filed under the name uncultured bacterium. RNAcentral's name for it is "bacterial SSU rRNA". It matches the Rfam family "Bacterial small subunit ribosomal RNA", at positions 29 to 507 of the family's 1533-position model. The record is from RNAcentral.